UACGUAGGGUGCGAGCGUUAAUCGGAAUUACUGGGCGUAAUGCGUGCGCAGGCGGUUUGCUAAGACAGGUGUGAAAUCCCCGGGCUUAACCUGGGAACUGCGCUUGUGACUGGCAGGCUAGAGUACGGCAGAGGGGGGUGGAAUUCCUGGUGUAGCAGUGAAAUGCGUAGAUAUCAGGAGGAACACCGAUGGCGAAGGCAGCCCCCUGGGCCUGUACUGACGCUCAUGCACGAAAGCGUGGGGAGCAAACAGGAUUAGA
RNAcentral lists this ribosomal RNA (259 nucleotides) under uncultured prokaryote. RNAcentral describes it as "partial 16S ribosomal RNA". It matches the Rfam family "Bacterial small subunit ribosomal RNA", at positions 524 to 782 of the family's 1533-position model. The record is from RNAcentral.